GACGAACGCUGGCGGCGUGCUUAAUACAUGCAAGUCAACUUGACUUUAGAUAGCAAUAUCGAAAAGUAGGGUGGCGCACGGGUGCGUAACGCGUAGGUAAUCUGCCCUGAGGUCUGACAUAACCCGUCGAAAGGCGGGCUAACAUCAGAUGAUAUAUAAUCACGACAUCGUGGAAAAUAUCAAAUCUUCGGAGCCUUGGGAUGAGCCUGCGUCUGAUUAGGUAGUUGGCGGAGUAAUAGCCCACCAAGCCUACGAUCAGUAGCUGGUCUGAGAGGAUGAUCAGCCACACUGGAACUGAGACACGGUCCAGACUCCUACGGGAGGCAGCAGUAAGGAAUAUUGCUCAAUGGGGAAACCCUGAAGCAGCAACGCCGCGUGAAGGAUGAAAUACUUUUGUAUGUAAACUUCUGUAAGAUGGGAAAAAUAUUCUCCUCGGGAGAAUUGAGUUGUACCAUCAGAGUAAGCCCCGGC
This 471-nucleotide ribosomal RNA is filed under the name uncultured bacterium. Its description in RNAcentral is "bacterial SSU rRNA". It matches the Rfam family "Bacterial small subunit ribosomal RNA", at positions 28 to 497 of the family's 1533-position model. The record is from RNAcentral.